This is a long non-coding RNA of Empidonax traillii (willow flycatcher), 358 nucleotides long. RefSeq lists it as uncharacterized. Lineage: Eukaryota; Metazoa; Chordata; Aves; Passeriformes; Tyrannidae. The transcript is spliced from 3 exons. The record is from RefSeq and is a predicted model, not a curated record.
UCUUCCCUUCCCUUUGUUCUCUUGCAGAGGGUGUGGAAAUCCGUUCCCGUUAGGCGUAGGAAGGCCAGGACCUCACCACCCAAGGUCUUGGCACAGCCUGAACCCAGCCCAACUGAGCUCCAGGCCAAGGCUGACACCCCAGGGACUGAGGGCAUCACAGACACGGACACCACACCUGUUCAGUGCCUGCCUGAUGCCAAAAGCGGGGAUGCUGUGGGCACAAUUGCACGGGCUUGGGCCAAAGGCUUCAGGAAAAGUGGCCACAAGGGCUUUCUAUUGACUGCCCAGCCUCACAGCAGCGCUUGGCAGCUUCAGCCUGUCAUCCUGACUGACUUCCACGGCCGUGCCUGAGGGCAGA